Molecule: long non-coding RNA, 302 nt
Organism: Xyrauchen texanus (razorback sucker)
Lineage: Eukaryota; Metazoa; Chordata; Actinopteri; Cypriniformes; Catostomidae
Exons: 4
Source: RefSeq, a predicted model, not a curated record
UAUUCACGAGGUGAUCACAUUUAUAUUCAUGAGGUGAUCACUGCUAUAUUCACGAGGUGAUCACUGCUAUAUUCACGAGGUGAUCACUGCUAUAUUCACGAGGUGAUCACUGCUAUAUCCACGAGGUGAUCACUGCUAUAUUCACGAGGUGAUCACUGCUAUAUCCACGAGGUGAUCACUGCUAUAUCCACGAGGUGAUCACUGCUAUAUCCACGAGGUGAUCACUGCUAUAUCCACGAGGUGAUCACUGCUAUAUCCACGAGGUGAUCACUGCUAUAUCCACGAGGUGAUCACUGCUAUAU